GCCGGGUACGGUGGCAUGUUGCCUGUAAUCCAAGUCACUGGGAGGGCUGAGGUUGGUGGUCAAGUGAGCUGAGGAGCUCUGGGCUGCAGCACACUAUUUUGAACGGGUGUCCACGCUAAGUCUGUAUCGAUAUGGUGUUCCAGGGGGAGCCGGGACCACCAGGUUGUCUAAGGAGGGGUGAACCGGCCCAGGUCGGAAACAAAGCAGGUCAAAUCCCCCGUGCUGUCCAGUAGUUGGAUAAUACCUGUGAGUAGAUGCUGCAGUGCAGCCUUGGCAAAACAUCGAGACUAUCUUAAUU
This 298-nucleotide signal recognition particle RNA is filed under the name Oncorhynchus kisutch (coho salmon). Its description in RNAcentral is "Metazoan signal recognition particle RNA (ENSOKIG00005022860.1)". It matches the Rfam family "Metazoan signal recognition particle RNA". Rfam says of the family: The signal recognition particle (SRP) is a universally conserved ribonucleoprotein. It is involved in the co-translational targeting of proteins to membranes. The eukaryotic SRP consists of a 300-nucleotide 7S RNA and six proteins: SRPs 72, 68, 54, 19, 14, and 9. The record is from Rfam by way of RNAcentral. Lineage: Eukaryota; Metazoa; Chordata; Actinopteri; Salmoniformes; Salmonidae.